RNAcentral lists this ribosomal RNA (253 nucleotides) under uncultured bacterium. RNAcentral describes it as "partial 16S ribosomal RNA". It matches the Rfam family "Bacterial small subunit ribosomal RNA", at positions 524 to 776 of the family's 1533-position model. The record is from RNAcentral.
UACGUAGGGGGCAAGCGUUGUCCGGAAUCAUUGGGCGUAAAGAGCGUGUAGGCGGCCAUGUAGGUCCGUUGUGAAAACUCGAGGCUCAACCUCGAGACGCCGAUGGAAACCAUGUGGCUAGAGUCCGGAAGAGGAGAGUGGAAUUCCAGGUGUAGCGGUGAAAUGCGUAGAUAUCUGGAGGAACACCGGUGGCGAAGGCGGCAUCCUGGACCGGCAUUGACGCUGAGGAGCGAAAGCCAGGGGAGCAAACGGG